AACGAACGCUGGCGGCAGGCUUAACACAUGCAAGUCGAGCGCCCCGCAAGGGGAGCGGCCGACGGGUGAGUAACGCGUGGGAACGUACCUUUUGGUUCGGAACAACUCCGGGAAACUGGAGCUAAUACCGGAUAAGCCCUAACGGGGAAAGAUUUAUCGCCGAAAGAUCGGCCCGCGUCUGAUUAGCUAGUUGGUGAGGUAACGGCUCACCAAGGCGACGAUCAGUAGCUGGUCUGAGAGGAUGAUCAGCCACACUGGGACUGAGACACGGCCCAGACUCCUACGGGAAGCAGCAGUGGGGAAUAUUGGACAAUGGGCGCAAGCCUGAUCCAGCCAUGCCGCGUGAGUGAUGAAGGCCUUAGGGUUGUAAAGCUCUUUUGUCCGGGAAGAUAAUGACUGUACCGGAAGAAUAAGCCCCGGCUAACUUCGUG
Molecule: ribosomal RNA, 431 nt
Filed under: uncultured bacterium
Lineage: Bacteria
Description: partial 16S ribosomal RNA
Rfam family: Bacterial small subunit ribosomal RNA
Source: RNAcentral